This is a non-coding RNA of Trametes punicea, 103 nucleotides long. NCBI's taxonomy places the organism in Eukaryota, Fungi, Basidiomycota, Agaricomycetes, Polyporales, Polyporaceae. The record is from the annotation of a GenBank genome assembly.
AUCUUGAUAGCUCAGUUGGUUAAGGAGCAGGUCUCAUGCGUACGGUAUGACAUCACUAUUUUGUGCAAACCUGAGGUCGUGAGUUCGACUCUCAGUCGGGAGA